AUUUAUAUAUUUUAAAAAAUAUUACAUUUUCAUUGUAAAGAUACCCAUUAGGGUUAUAAAUA
This 62-nucleotide transfer RNA is filed under the name Prolachesilla sp. PrspLA. Its description in RNAcentral is "tRNA-Glu". Lineage: Eukaryota; Metazoa; Arthropoda; Insecta; Psocodea; Lachesillidae. The record is from RNAcentral.